AAUGAAAGUAACAUUACUUUACGUGCCAGUUCAAAUUUCCGAUUCAGAAAAAUAACUUCUUUGAUUCUUUUUGGAGCAUCACCACAUCAGAAGAUGAGACCGGAAGUGAAGUAUCUCCUACAAUGUUACAUGGAUGAGAAAGAUGCUCCUAAAGAAAGUGAUGAGAAGCCAUCCUCCGGUGGUCCUGUUCUUCAAUUCUUCCGAGCUUUCUUUGAGAUUUUUCCGAGUGCCCCAGCUGCUACCGUAUGCCAAGGUCCUAGCCUGAAAGGAUUACAUCUGGACGAGG
Molecule: long non-coding RNA, 286 nt
Organism: Stegodyphus dumicola
Lineage: Eukaryota; Metazoa; Arthropoda; Arachnida; Araneae; Eresidae
Source: RefSeq, a predicted model, not a curated record